UAUUUCUCUCUCUCUAGGUCAGAGGAAAGGGUAUGAAGCGAGGGCAGAGAGCAGGUCACAUGACUGCUGUAUGUCAGCAUCCACGAGGGUCCUGAGGGAGUCCUGGCAGACACAGCUGUGGUUUGGCCGUCCUCACAGGUUGGCUGGAUCGCCUCCCGAAUGGCGCAGCGGUCUAAGGCACUGCAGUGCUUGAGGCGUCACUACAGAUCUGGGUUCAAUCCCAGGCUGUGUCGCAGCUGGCCACGACCGGGAGACCCAUGAGGCAACGCACAAUUGGGCCAGCAUCGUCCGGGUUAGGGGAGGGAUUGGCCGGCUGGGAUGUCCUUGUCCCAUCGCUCUCUAGCGACUCCUGUGAGUGCCGGCCAAAUGCACUCUGACACGGUCGCAGUUGUACGGUGUUUUCUCCGACACAUUGGUGUGGCUGGCUUCCAGGUUAAGCGGGCAUUGUGUCAAGAAGCAGUGCGGCUUGGCAGAGUCAUGUUUCGGAGGACGCAUGGCUCUUGACCUUCGCCUCUCCCGAGUCCGUACGGGAGUUGCAGCGGUGGGACAAGACUGUAACUACCAAUUGGAUAUCACGAAAUUGGGGAGAAAAAGGCGUAAAAAGUUGUCUGGACUUCGCUGAAGACCCGUAGAUCUCUACAUUACUCCCUUUUUGUAUAGACACCUGAGUUGCCUAACCCGUUCACAGGAUUGGUUAACACUUGAGGUUCCUAGGGUCUCCACCGAGCUAGGUAAAUUCGCUUUUAGUUUUAAUGUACUGUAUUGCUGGAACAAAAUUUUAAAUACAUUUCAUCUCUGUUCUGGUGCCGUUCGGCAAUUUAAAGUAUGGAUUGGAGACUUAUUUGUAGAGGAAUGUAACUGUUUUUCUGGAUAAUUUGUAGUGUUUUAUUUGUGCUUCCCAUGACUGUGUUUAUGUAUUUUAUUGUGUAUAUGUUUGGGUAUAAUGUAUAUAUUUAUGUUGUAUUAUACAGGUCAUAUUUGUAAAAGAGACCUUGGUCUCAAAGUUGUCCCUGUUCAAAUAAAGGUGAAAUAAAAAAUAAAAAAAUGUGACCCAAAUAUUUGCAACACAUGCCACCCCCAAAAACCAACAGACAAAUUACAUUUAUCCAAAUAUCACUUUAUUGUUUUUUUUUAUCAAUCACAUUGUUUACAGUGCUUUAAAUGUUUACAGAUUAAAGUGUGUGUUGAGGUUCUGUCUCUAUAUCACAUGAGAUCCUUUCUACCUAAGACAUAACUUACUCUAUCCAGAUGUGGCAUCAAUGACACGCACUGACCUGUUGAGCUAAGCAAACAGCAAGACAUUUCAUGGCCAAAUCAUUGCCUAAAUGGAUUGUGUUGCUCACUGACUUGGUUGAAAGACAAUUUUAGAUGAUUUUGGAAUAAUAUUUAAAAGAUGCUAAAUGGGAAAAUUUGACUGAAAUGGAAAUUGAUCCUAAAAAAAUGCUAAUAUUAAUUGGCUAGUUUAUCAAAAUCAGACUGUUUUCACAUAUACUUGUUUUACAAAUAUCAAACUAUGUAAAAUAUGCCUUUAUGCAGAAAUAUAGCCAUCGUGUUGCAUUGAG
Molecule: long non-coding RNA, 1562 nt
Filed under: Salmo salar (Atlantic salmon)
Lineage: Eukaryota; Metazoa; Chordata; Actinopteri; Salmoniformes; Salmonidae
Description: lncRNA (ENSSSAG00000121793.1)
Source: RNAcentral